GAUGAACGCUGGCGGCGUGCUUAACACAUGCAAGUCGAACGGAAAGGCCCAAGCUUGCUUGGGUACUCGAGUGGCGAACGGGUGGGUAACACGUGGGUGAUCUGCCCUGCACUUCGGGAUAAGCCUGGGAAACUGGGUCUAAUACCGGAUAGGACGAUGGUUUGGAUGCCAUUGUGGAAAGUUUUUUCGGUGUGGGAUGAGCUCGCGGCCUAUCAGCUUGUUGGUGGGGUAAUGGCCUACCAAGGCGUCGACGGGUAGCCGGCCUGAGAGGGUGUACGGCCACAUUGGGACUGAGAUACGGCCCAGACUCCUACGGGAGGCAGCAGUGGGGAAUAUUGCACAAUGGGCGCAAGCCUGAUGCAGCGACGCCGCGUGGGGGAUGAAGGCCUUCGGGUUGUAAACUCCUUUCGCUAGGGACGAAGCGUUUUUGUGACGGUACCUGGAGAAGAAGCACCGGCUAACUACGUG
Molecule: ribosomal RNA, 468 nt
Filed under: uncultured bacterium
Lineage: Bacteria
Description: partial 16S ribosomal RNA
Rfam family: Bacterial small subunit ribosomal RNA
Source: RNAcentral